RNAcentral lists this long non-coding RNA (611 nucleotides) under Salmo salar (Atlantic salmon). Its description in RNAcentral is "lncRNA (ENSSSAG00000089461.1)". Lineage: Eukaryota; Metazoa; Chordata; Actinopteri; Salmoniformes; Salmonidae. The record is from RNAcentral.
UGAACAGGAAGACUCACCCUGACCGCCAGCCAAUACCCAGAGUACAGGAUAUCAUGGACAGCCUUGGAGAAAAUUCCUGGUUUUCACCCUUGGAUCAGGGACAAGCAUAUCACUAGGGGUUCAUGGAAAAGGAAAGCAGCCUUUGUGACCCCAUCGAGCCUGUAUGAGUGGGUUUGUUUUCAGUAUGGACUCAUGGAUGCACCAACAGCCUUCCAGCGCUUAAUGGAGGAAUGUUUGGAUGGCUUGAGAGAUGAGAUCUGUGUCCCGUAUCUGGACAACACCCUCGUCUUCAGCAAGAACUUUGAGAUCCAUGUCAACUAUUUUAGAAAAGUACUACAGAGACUAAGAGAAUAUGGGAAAAAGCUGAAGCCCAGCAAGUUUUCCCGUGUGUAUCAACAAGGGUCCACCACCCAAAGGACAUCCAGCCAACAACUGUGGCAAGCAUUAGAGUCAACGUGGGCCAGCAUCUCUUUGGAAUGCUUUCGACACCUUGUAGAAUCAUGUGUUAACACAGUACACAAACAUGGUAAGAAUACAUUUUUGAUUAGCUAUGCGUGACUCGAGAAUGUAUAUUGAAUCAGUAAACCUACACCACAUACAAACCUCAGUGA